This 373-nucleotide ribosomal RNA is filed under the name uncultured bacterium. RNAcentral describes it as "bacterial SSU rRNA". It matches the Rfam family "Bacterial small subunit ribosomal RNA", at positions 29 to 402 of the family's 1533-position model. The record is from RNAcentral.
AUUGAACGCUGGCGGAAUGCUUUACACAUGCAAGUCGAGCGGCAGCGCGGGGGCAACCCUGGCGGCGAGCGGCGAACGGGUGAGUAAUACAUCGGAACGUGUCCUUAAGUGGGGGAUAGCUCGGCGAAAGCCGGAUUAAUACCGCAUAAGCUCUGAGGAGGAAAGCGGGGGCUCCGUAAGGACCUCGCGCUGUUGGAGCGGCCGAUGUCGGAUUAGCUAGUUGGUGGGGUAAAGGCCCACCAAGGCGACGAUCCGUAGCUGGUCUGAGAGGAUGAUCAGCCACACUGGAACUGAGCACGGUCCAGACUCCUACGGGAGGCAGCAGUGGGGAAUUUUGGACAAUGGGGGCAACCCUGAUCCAGCCAUUCCGCGU